AACGAACGCUGGCGGCAUGCCUAACACAUGCAAGUCGAACGAUGCCUUCGGGCAUAGUGGCGCACGGGUGCGUAACGCGUGGGAAUCUGCCUUUCGGGUCGGAAUAACUCAGGGAAACUUGAGCUAAUACCGGAUAACGUCGCAAGACCAAAGAUUUAUCACCGAAAGAUGAGCCCGCGUAGGAUUAGCUAGUUGGUGAGGUAAAGGCUCACCAAGGCGACGAUCCUUAGCUGGUCUGAGAGGAUGAUCAGCCACACUGGGACUGAGACACGGCCCAGACUCCUACGGGAGGCAGCAGUGGGGAAUAGUGGACAAUGGGCGAAAGCAUGAUCCAGCAAUGACGCGUGAGUGAUGAAGGCAUUAGGGUUGUAAAGCUCUUUUACCCGGGAAGAUAAUGACGGUACCGGGAGAAUAAGCCCCGGCUAACUACGUG
Molecule: ribosomal RNA, 433 nt
Filed under: uncultured bacterium
Lineage: Bacteria
Description: partial 16S ribosomal RNA
Rfam family: Bacterial small subunit ribosomal RNA
Source: RNAcentral